Molecule: long non-coding RNA, 290 nt
Organism: Rosa chinensis
Lineage: Eukaryota; Viridiplantae; Streptophyta; Magnoliopsida; Rosales; Rosaceae
Exons: 2
Source: RefSeq, a predicted model, not a curated record
AGAGAGAGAGAGAGAGAGAGAGAGAGAGAGAGAGAGAGAGAGUGAAGGCUGAUCCGAGAGAGAUGAAGAACAUAAGACGGGAAGAGGAAGAACUAUUUGAUACACCAAGUUGUGGAGAAUAGGUAUGGAGUGAGUAGAUAUCCUACAUUGAAAUUUUUUUCCAAAGGGCAACAAGGAUGGUGAAGUGUAUGGUGGAGGCUGAGAUUUGGAAUAUUUUGUAAAUUUCAUCAGUGAGAAAUGUAGGACUAGCACAGAUGCGAAAGGGCAACUUACUUCCAUAGUUAGUACCA